Molecule: long non-coding RNA, 252 nt
Filed under: Lathyrus oleraceus (garden pea)
Lineage: Eukaryota; Viridiplantae; Streptophyta; Magnoliopsida; Fabales; Fabaceae
Description: Pisum sativum (pea) long non-coding RNA (PSAT_LNC033787)
Source: RNAcentral
AUGCCAAUCGCUGGACUUACAUCAGACUCCACGCAACAAACACAAACAGGAAACCGACUGCCAAUCGCUGGACUUACAUCAGACUCCACACACACAAACACAGGAAAUCGACUACCAAUCGCUGGACUUACGUCAGACUCCAAGCAAACAAGAGGUUAACCGGACGCUGAGUCGUCAAAAACAACAAAAAAGGUGAACAAACAAGCUAACAGGGAGUCUGGUACUCGAGCCUGCUAUCUGUCAAGCAAACAC